GAUGAACGCUGGCGGCGUGCUUAACACAUGCAAGUCGAACGGAAAGGCUCCUGCUUGCAGGGGUACUCGAGUGGCGAACGGGUGAGUAACACGUGGGUGAUCUGCCCUGCACUUCGGGAUAAGCCUGGGAAACUGGGUCUAAUACCGGAUAGGACGAUGGUUUGGAUGCCAUUGUGGAAAGUUUUUUCGGUGUGGGAUGAGCUCGCGGCCUAUCAGCUUGUUGGUGGGGUAAUGGCCUACCAAGGCGUCGACGGGUAGCCGGCCUGAGAGGGUGUACGGCCACAUUGGGACUGAGAUACGGCCCAGACUCCUACGGGAGACAGCAGUGGGGAAUAUUGCACGAUGGGCGCAAGCCUGAUGCAGCGACGCCGCGUGGGGGAUGACGGCCUUCGGGUUGUAAACUCCUUUCGCUAGGGACGAAGCGCAAGUGACGGUACCUGGAGAAGAAGCACCGGCUAACUACGUG
RNAcentral lists this ribosomal RNA (466 nucleotides) under uncultured bacterium. Its description in RNAcentral is "partial 16S ribosomal RNA". It matches the Rfam family "Bacterial small subunit ribosomal RNA", at positions 28 to 507 of the family's 1533-position model. The record is from RNAcentral.